CGCGCCGAUGUGGUAAAAUAAUAUGUGGCGUUUGAUGCGCCGCUAUAAUAUUUUUAAGGAAAUUCCGAAAUAUAGAUGUGCGGGCCCUGUGCAACAAGACACCGUGAACCAUGUCAGGCGGGAGACCGAGCAGCAUUAAGCGGAUCGUCUCGUGUGCCGCAGCAAGCCUGCACAUCUAUGUUCCGGAAUUUUUUUCGGGGCG
Molecule: signal recognition particle RNA, 202 nt
Filed under: Ruminococcus flavefaciens
Lineage: Bacteria; Bacillati; Bacillota; Clostridia; Eubacteriales; Oscillospiraceae
Description: Bacterial large signal recognition particle RNA
Rfam family: Bacterial small signal recognition particle RNA (bases 78-176)
Source: RNAcentral